UCCGUCCCGGCACCCGUUCCUGCCGCCGCCGCCCGCGAGCCCCGAGACGCCGCCGGGCCACUCCCGCAGCCCGUGCCCCUCCGCACCCGUUAUUAAACACGAAAACGAUCAGAACAUCAGAAUUAAGGAACUGUGAGGCCCCUGAGGCAUUCUCGGUUUCCUUUUUAAGCCCAGCACCUCGGCCCGGGUCCCUCCCUGCCUCCUCCGAGCCCGCACCGCACCUGCCAGGCCUGCCGGUGCCACCUCUACCAGACUAGGAGCUUCGGAGCCUCAGUCAUUCCUGAAUCCUGGGGCGCUUCUCAGGACCAGUGCCCGCACGCGGCUUCUACAAGUGAACUAGAAAAGACAAUUAGAUGACUUGGAAUGUGG
Callorhinus ursinus (northern fur seal) is the source of this 369-nucleotide non-coding RNA. NCBI's taxonomy places the organism in Eukaryota, Metazoa, Chordata, Mammalia, Carnivora, Otariidae. The record is from RefSeq and is a predicted model, not a curated record.